RNAcentral lists this ribosomal RNA (253 nucleotides) under uncultured bacterium. RNAcentral describes it as "partial 16S ribosomal RNA". It matches the Rfam family "Bacterial small subunit ribosomal RNA", at positions 524 to 776 of the family's 1533-position model. The record is from RNAcentral.
UACAGAGGUCCCGAGCGUUGUUCGGAUUCACUGGGCGUAAAGGGUGCGUAGGCGGCGGGGCAAGUCUGAUGUGAAAGCUCGGAGCUCAACUCCGAAAUGGCAUUGGAAACUGUUCUGCUGGAGGGCUGGAGGGGGGACUGGAAUUCUCGGUGUAGCAGUGAAAUGCGUAGAGAUCGAGAGGAACACCUGUGGCGAAGGCGAGUCCCUGGACAGCCACUGACGCUGAGGCACGAAAGCUAGGGGAGCAAACAGG